UCCGAGUUGACCCCGGCAGUCUCCUGUGAGUCCCCAGCACCCCGAGGGGCCUGCUGGCAACACAGAACAAGGGUUGCGCUCGUUAAGGGACUUAACCCGACACUUCACAACACGAGCUGACGACAGCCAUGCAGCACCUGUCACCGGCCAAUUGAAGAGCUCCGUCUCUGGAGCCCCGACCGGGAAGUCAAGAGCUGGUAAGGUUCUUCGCGUUGCCUCGAAUUAAACCACAUGCUCCGCCGCUUGUGCGGGCCCCCGUCAAUUCCUUUGAGUUUUAACCUUGCGGUCGUAGUCCCCAGGCGGGGUGCUUAAUGCGUUAGCUACGGCACGGGAGACGUGGAUAGUCCCCCACACCUAGCACCCAUCGUUUACGGCGUGGACUAC
RNAcentral lists this unclassified non-coding RNA (384 nucleotides) under uncultured bacterium. Its description in RNAcentral is "contains 16S-23S intergenic spacer region". The record is from RNAcentral.